CUUCACAAACAGCGGUUACUGGACAGGCUUACCAGUCUUCUACAAUCUCAGUGCCCUUGCAUCAAGUCGGCUUUCCUCCUUCCGCUAUUUCUAACAUGCACAUAUCAUCUCCUCCACAGUUAUCAACUGCGCCUUCAGUCCCUUUCCUUGACAUUCCUGAAUCCCACAGCAAUACCAACCUGGCCACUAAUCUUGUAAAGCCUUCUUCAUUUUUUGUUACCCCUCCUUCCCCUGCAACAGUGAUUGCACCUGUAUCUUCAUCAGUGCCUAGCUAGUGCUCCUCUGUUUCAACCUGCUGUGAGUCUACAGCGUCCAUAUGGUGCUCCUUUGCUACAACCUUUUCCCCCACCUGCCCCUCCACCAUCUCUCACUCCUGCUUCUUUUUCUACUUCAAACUAUGGGCCAGUUAUUAGCAGAGAUAAAGUCCGAGAUGCACUCCGGCUGCUUGUUCAGGAUAAUCAGUUCGUUGACAUGGUCCAUCUAGCACUCCUUAAAGCACACCACUCAUAAUUCCAUUAGGAGAAGCGUUAAAUAUGCAGGUGAGUGAGCAGCUAUUGGAGGCAGCACUACAAUCUACGGAGAUGGAUUGUUUUGGUUUAUCGUGUAGAAAACCUUCUCCUUUCAGAUUGCAUGAAUGUAUAGAAUAUCUCUUCUCAUUCUCACCAGAGCACCUGAUAUAUUAUCUUAUAUUAUCUUCUAUAUAACCUAAAGGGCGUGGACUGUUCACUGGCGCGUCACUGUUCAUUCGAGUGGCACUGUUCAUUUGAGUCCGAAAAUCAUGUUUUUGAGUAGAAGAGACUGGAAACGCCAAGAAUAUCUAUCAGAUUCCAGAUCUAUCUAAUCACUGUUCUGGCAAUUUACCUUUGUACUAUUCAUAGUCUGAGUAUAUAAGCCAUAAGAUUGACUCACGAGUGGCUUCGGGAACUCUCCAUUUACGUCGACUCCAGCUCCUCCACUGUUGCAAUCUCCGAUCAACGUCAACCUCCAUAGAAACUGAGUGUUCAGAAUUGUCGUGCAUCAAUUCAUCAACCACAGUUUGAAAUUGGAUUGAGGCUUGCAGAACCUUACACUUUCAUCAAUUAUUGUUGACCUUCAACCAGCUAACUAAAACGUUCAAUUUUAUUUCAUUUGGUUGGCUACCUAUGAUCUAUCUGAGCUGCAAAUUGAGGGUGAUGGAAAUCGCCAGUUUCGAGCAAUAGCUGAUCAGUUGUUUCGCAAUCCAGAUUACCAUGAGCAUGUUAGAAAGCAGGAGCUAUGGCUGGUUGCUUCUUAUGAAUUAGCAAGCAUAAGGCGUUCUUAGUGGAGAAAUAAGUGAAUGGUGCACUUCAACAAAUCAGCUUGGACAUCUUUCGACCUUCUACAGAGAUUGGAAGGAGUUCUACAUGUUUCAAGAAGACAUCAACACCAUGAAUGAUCUGUAAUAGUUCUGUUAUUCUGUAUCAAUGUUCACGCCUUAGGAGAUUAUAGUUACAGUUACCACUGAUUUUGGAGUGAAACCUACUCUUGCUCUUUGGGUUCAUAGAAUCCAGAAAGAGAGCGUGGGCUAUGUAGCGUCAUUUAGCGUUUAACUACCAAAAGAUAAUAAUAUUGUUUAUAUAUUCUAAUCAACUGUAAACACAUAUCGAUUAUAAAAAUACCCGCAGCAAAGCGCGGGCUAUCUAUCUAGUCUUUAA
This is a long non-coding RNA of Rosa rugosa (rugosa rose), 1673 nucleotides long. RefSeq lists it as uncharacterized. NCBI's taxonomy places the organism in Eukaryota, Viridiplantae, Streptophyta, Magnoliopsida, Rosales, Rosaceae. The transcript has 8 exons. The record is from RefSeq and is a predicted model, not a curated record.